GCAAGUCGUGCGCGAAAGUCUUCGGACGAGUAAAGCGGCGAAAGGGUGAGUAACACGUAAUCAACGUACCCCCCAGACCGGGAUAACCUCUAGAAAUGGUGGAUAAUACCGGAUGGACUUAUGGCUGGGCAUCCAGUCAAUAGUAAACGGCGGCUUCGGCUGCUGCUGGGGGAGCGGGUUGCGGCCUAUCAGCUUGUUGGUGUGGUAACGGCACACCAAGGCAAUGACGGGUAGCGGGUCUGAGAGGAUGAUC
Molecule: ribosomal RNA, 253 nt
Filed under: uncultured bacterium
Lineage: Bacteria
Description: partial 16S ribosomal RNA
Rfam family: Bacterial small subunit ribosomal RNA
Source: RNAcentral